RNA transcript from Cynara cardunculus var. scolymus (artichoke), 1300 nucleotides. It is a transcript of the gene named probable 2-oxoglutarate-dependent dioxygenase At3g50210, with no coding region annotated. The record is from RefSeq and is a predicted model, not a curated record. The transcript has 13 exons. NCBI's taxonomy places the organism in Eukaryota, Viridiplantae, Streptophyta, Magnoliopsida, Asterales, Asteraceae.
AGCGAUAGCACCUAGGAAAGUAAAAGAUUCCCACUCUCGGAUCGGAGUAUCGUUGAUUCCAGACUGAACAUCCGACGGAAUCGUAAAUCGCCAUGUCCACCGACUUCCAAUCCAUUCCUCUCAUCGAUAUUAGUCCUCUGGUUGCAAAGUGUGAUGAUCCGGAUGUUGGUGAGGACAAAGAUGUUGCAGAAGUUGUUAGACUUCUAGAUCAAGCUUGUAGAGAAGCUGGAUUCUUUUAUGUGAAAGGUCAUGGUAUUCCUGAUUCUCUUAUUAAAGAGGUUAGAGACAUGACACAUGAGUUCUUUGAUCUACCUUAUGAGGAGAAACUCAAGAUCAAAUUGUCUGAUGCAACUGGAUACAGGGGAUACCAGCGAGUCGGUGAAAAUAUAACUAAAGGCAUACCUGAUAGGCACGAAGCUAUCGACUGCUAUAAAGAACUAAACAAAGGGAUGUAUGGAGGUCUUGGCGACCCAUUAGUAGGAAACAACAAAUGGCCAACAAAGCCUCCAGAGUUCAAAAAGCUGAUGGAGGACUAUCUUAUCCUUUGCACAGAGCUAUCAAGAAAAAUCAUGCGAGGGAUCGCUCUGGCACUUGGUGGCUCAGUAGAUGAAUUCGAAGGCAAAAUAGCUGGAGAUCCAUUCUGGGUAUUUCGUAUAAUAGGUUACCCUGGUGCCGAGGGAUUGCAAAAGAACGAUGUUGGAUGCGGAGCCCACACCGACUAUGGUCUAUUGACAUUGGUUAAUCAGGAUGAUGACAAAACUGCACUUCAGGUAAGAUCCUCGAUCCUUGCCAGCCAUGCUCAUUCGGUAAGGGAAGUGACACCCGGUGAGAAACGUUUCAGGCGAAUGGAUAUCAGCAGUUCCCAUUCCUGGAACAUUCGUCUGCAAUAUCGGCGAUAUGCUUAAGAUUCUAACAAACGGUCUUUAUGAAUCCACAUUGCAUCGGGUCGUUAAUAACUCCCCAAAAUUCCGAGUCUGUGUGGCUUACUUUUACGAGCCAAACUUCAAUGCUGCAAUAAGUCCCUUGGAUAUGUGCGUAAAGAAGAGUGGUGGGAAUAAGAAGUUUGAAUCAGCUGUUUAUGGGGAGCAUCUAGUUAGUAAGGUUCUCACAAAUUUCACUUAUUAAAUCAAAUGUAACGGGUCUAGUGUAUCCCAUCUGGAGGUGCGGUCGGUAGAGGAUGGUAUGUAUGUCUUAAUUAUCUCAUUUACUUUCUAGUUUUCUCUGUAAACUUUGAUAAAACAACUGUAACAAUAAGAGUUCUUUAAACAAAAAUUUGAAUUGGUUAAAUAAUUCACAUAUG